This 634-nucleotide ribosomal RNA is filed under the name Malassezia globosa. RNAcentral's name for it is "eukaryotic LSU rRNA". It matches the Rfam family "Eukaryotic large subunit ribosomal RNA", at positions 38 to 657 of the family's 3401-position model. The record is from RNAcentral. Lineage: Eukaryota; Fungi; Basidiomycota; Malasseziomycetes; Malasseziales; Malasseziaceae.
GCAUAUCAAUAAGCGGAGGAAAAGAAACUAACAAGGAUUCCCCUAGUAACGGCGAGCGAAGCGGGAAGAGCUCAAAUUUGAAAGCUGGCACCUCCGGUGUCCGCGUUGUAAUCUCGAGACGUGUUUUCCGUGCGGCUCUAUGGACAAGUCCCUUGGAAUAGGGCAUCGUAGAGGGUGAGAAUCCCGUACUUGCCAUGGAAGAACCGUGCUUUGCGAUACACGCUCUAAGAGUCGAGUUGUUUGGGAUUGCAGCUCAAAAUGGGUGGUAGACUCCAUCUAAAGCUAAAUAUCGGGGAGAGACCGAUAGCGAACAAGUACCGUGAGGGAAAGAUGAAAAGCACUUUGGAAAGAGAGUUAAAAGUACGUGAAAUUGUCGAAAGGGAAGCACUUGAAGUCAGCCAUGCUGCUUGAGACUCAGCCUGGCCUUUGGGCUUGGUGUAUUUCUCGGUGGCAAGCCAGCAUUGGUUUGGGUCGUCGGAGAAGCGCAUAGGGAAUGUAGCGUUUCCGGACGUGUUAUAGCCUUAUGCAGGAUACGACGACCUGGAUCAAGGAACGCAGUGUGCCCUCUGGGCGGGUCUUCGGACACCUUCACACUUAGGAUGCUGGCGUAAUGGCUUUAAGUGGCCCGUCUUGA